This 352-nucleotide long non-coding RNA is filed under the name Gossypium barbadense (sea-island cotton). Its description in RNAcentral is "long non-coding RNA (GBAR_LNC019727)". The record is from RNAcentral. Lineage: Eukaryota; Viridiplantae; Streptophyta; Magnoliopsida; Malvales; Malvaceae.
UUGAAAUUUUGACCAAAACGCAUCGUUCCGGCUUGACCUAUAGAUGCAUUAUAUAAUGUAGGUUAUUAUAUAUUUAGUUUAUCAUAUAUGGUUUAGGUUUAGGGUAUUAGGGUUCAUUAUAUAAUGUUUAUUAUUUUUGGAUUAGAGUUUAGGGUUUAGGGUUUACGAUGUAGGUUUAGUGUUUUCGGUUUAAGGUUUGAGAGUUUGGUGAUUAAGGUUCAGUGAUUAUUAUAAGUUAAAAAGUUUAUCGUAUAUAGUUUAGGGUUUUAGGGUUAAUCAUUAUAUAAUGUUUAUUAUUUUGUGAAUAUUAGAGUUUUGAGUUUAGGGUUUAUGAUGUAAGUUUAGGUUUAGG